UGAGAGGGAUGAUGAGAUCAAAUAAUCUCGUUAAUCUGAUAUAUAAUGAGGAUAACUUUUCUCAUCCAUUCACUAUUCUUUCUGAGC
This is a non-coding RNA of Cajanus cajan (pigeon pea), 87 nucleotides long. The record is from Rfam. NCBI's taxonomy places the organism in Eukaryota, Viridiplantae, Streptophyta, Magnoliopsida, Fabales, Fabaceae.